AUUGAACGCUGGCGGCAUGCCUUACACAUGCAAGUCGAACGUGAAAGCGGGGCAACCCGCAAGUAGAGUGGCGGACGGGUGAGUAAUACAUCGGAACGUGUCCAGUAAUGGGGGAUAACCUAGCGAAAGUUAGGCUAAUACCGCAUAUGAUCUGCGGAUGAAAGCGGGGGAUGCGGCACUAAAGGCUUUUGGCGAAGGUGGCCAAAGGUGAGUCAAGAGCUUUUAGUGCUGCACCUCGCGUUAUUGGAGCGGCUGAUGUCUGAUUAGCUAGUUGGUGAGGUAAAGGCUUACCAAGGCGACGAUCAGUAGCUGGUCUGAGAGGACGGCCAGCCACACUGGGACUGAGACACGG
RNAcentral lists this ribosomal RNA (352 nucleotides) under uncultured bacterium. Its description in RNAcentral is "bacterial SSU rRNA". It matches the Rfam family "Bacterial small subunit ribosomal RNA", at positions 30 to 329 of the family's 1533-position model. The record is from RNAcentral.